Long non-coding RNA from Rhineura floridana, 634 nucleotides. RefSeq lists it as uncharacterized. The record is from RefSeq and is a predicted model, not a curated record. The transcript is spliced from 2 exons. NCBI's taxonomy places the organism in Eukaryota, Metazoa, Chordata, Lepidosauria, Squamata, Rhineuridae.
CUAUUGUUUUGUUCAGCUUUUUGCAGCAGGUUCCAAUCAUCUGUCCACCUUUUGCAUUGAUCAUCCAAAGUGUCUCUGUGUUCAAAGCUGUUGGCAUUCUGCCUUACUCACUAUUUGUUUCCUUUCCAAGCUUUUGUUUCUUCCUUUCCUUAUCCAACAGUUUUUUCUUUUCUGCUCCUCUUACCUCCAAAUGGUAUUUUGCUUUAAAAUUCUCCAAAGGUCUUUUCCCUUGAGCUUGCUCUCCAUUGGUCUAGCUCAAGGAUAGGGAACGUGUAGCCCUCCAGAUGCUGCUGGACUAUAACUUCCAUCCCUGGUCAUUGGCAUCCUGGCUGGGACUCAUGAUAUGGAUUGCUGAUCUAUCAAAAAAAAGAAGAAGAAGAAAGAGAGAAAAAGAUUCUUUGGGAUUGUCUGAAGAAAUUAUUUAUACAAAAGAAUAGAUGCUUUGUGGUAUAUCUUCUUGCAGCUGCAAAAAUAAUAUGGGCAAAAGACUCAAAAUGAUUUACUCACAGCACUAAAUGCUUCCAAAUCACUCUUUCAAAAGCUGCAGUUCCAGGCACUGCUGUUUACUGGUGUUUUGCUGGGUAGGGGGACAGAGGACAAAGAAGAAGGAAGAGCAAAUAAAUUAUAUUUUUGA